GCAGUGGUGGGUCAGUGGUAGAAUUCUCACCUUCUGUGAGGGAGACCUGGGUUUAAUUCCUGGCCAAUGUA
This 71-nucleotide transfer RNA is filed under the name Loxodonta africana (African savanna elephant). It matches the Rfam family "tRNA". From Rfam's summary of the family: Transfer RNA (tRNA) molecules are approximately 80 nucleotides in length. Their secondary structure includes four short double-helical elements and three loops (D, anti-codon, and T loops). Further hydrogen bonds mediate the characteristic L-shaped molecular structure. tRNAs have two regions of fundamental functional importance: the anti-codon, which is responsible for specific mRNA codon recognition, and the 3' end, to which the tRNAs corresponding amino acid is attached (by aminoacyl-tRNA synthetases). tRNAs cope with the degeneracy of the genetic code in two manners: having more than one tRNA (with a specific anti-codon) for a particular amino acid; and 'wobble' base-pairing, i.e. permitting non-standard base-pairing at the 3rd anti-codon position. The record is from Rfam by way of RNAcentral. Lineage: Eukaryota; Metazoa; Chordata; Mammalia; Proboscidea; Elephantidae.